Pipra filicauda (Wire-tailed manakin) is the source of this 1167-nucleotide long non-coding RNA. RefSeq lists it as uncharacterized. The transcript has 3 exons. NCBI's taxonomy places the organism in Eukaryota, Metazoa, Chordata, Aves, Passeriformes, Pipridae. The record is from RefSeq and is a predicted model, not a curated record.
AGUGGUGACCCCGCAGCCCCCCCGACCUCCAGCCCCGCGACCCCCCCUCACCUGCGCUUCUUCUGCACGUACAUCACCUGCGGGGAAAGGCAUCAGCGGCGCGGGCUCGGGGGGCGUCGGUGCCCCCCCAGACCGCCCCCCGCCCGCCCACUCACCGCGGCCAGGACGGCGCCGAGGAGGGUGAGGAAGAGGAAGGGGCCCAGCACGGAGCCCACCAGCGAGUCGCCCGCCGUGCCCGGGGCCGUGGGGGCCGUCGCGUUGCUCAUGGCCCAGCGCGGGCUCCUGCCCGCAUUGGGGACGCGGGUGCCCGGCCCCAGGGCGGGACCCCUGCAACCCACACCUGCCCCGGGAGUGACCCACUGCAGGGAGUGACCUCGCCCCCACCCCGGGAAUGACCCACCGCCCGGGAAUGACGGACGCACAGGGCCAUCCCUGUGAGCGAGCCCAUCUCAACACCAGGCUGUUGGUGACAUCCCUCCAGUUCCUCUUCCAGGCUGUGACUGUCCCAGGCCACUGCAGGGAGGGCUUUCUCCUCAGGUGACACUAUUGCCUAUCUCCAAGCUCACGUAGCUUCCCCCUUGCACACAACUCAACAGAGGAAACCCUUCCCGACAGGACCCCGACCGCCCGGCAACGGAGCGAGCGCAGAGUGGGCAGAGCCCUCUGGCCUUCCUGGAGACACUGCGGGUGAAAGAUCAGAACCAUGGAGGUAUGUGCUACACCUGCCAGCCAGGAUCAAGCAGGAGAGCACCUGCAUUAUCCAGAGGCUCCAACUGAGAUCUGAGCCCUGAAGGAAACGGGACGUGUUUUCUACUGAACGUGUUUGACUUUGAGGAAAGGUGUCAUAAAAAUGAGUAAGAGAAAGUAUCCACUGAAAUGCUCCGUUUCCAAAGUGCCUCUGCAGUUGUAAAGUGUUUCUGCAAACUAUUUCACCUUAAUUCGUCAUAACCCUCCCACGUGAACUUCACCAGGAGAAAAGAAACACCAAGCGCUGGGGUGAAGAACGGAGACCUGCAGCCAGGAAAAGAAACCCAGACUAUGGGAAUUACAAGUCCAAAACCAAUCUCAAAUUCACAGAGAAUUGAGCAUUUCACUUAUGAUUCACUGAAAACACUUGAAAAUCUCAGGCUUCUUUUAAUUCUAAUAAAUUAGCAAGUUUGUUCUCUA